CCUUCUCAUACCCCUAGGGUUUGGUGAUGAGUGAUACUUCGCAAGAAGUUCAUUUGAAAUGAAUUGGCAUGAGUUUUAGUUGUAAACGACAGUUUGUUUAUUCAAUGUAUUAGGUUUUACCAUCGUUGAUUGACGGCUGAUGAUUGCAGUUAAAUAUGGCUCUGCCUAACAAACUUUAUCAUAAA
RNAcentral lists this unclassified non-coding RNA (185 nucleotides) under uncultured Candida. Its description in RNAcentral is "sequence contains ITS2". Lineage: Eukaryota; Fungi; Ascomycota; Saccharomycetes; Saccharomycetales. The record is from RNAcentral.